This 329-nucleotide unclassified non-coding RNA is filed under the name soil metagenome. Its description in RNAcentral is "partial contains 5.8S ribosomal RNA, internal transcribed spacer 2, and large subunit ribosomal RNA". The stretch from base 1 to 120 matches the Rfam family "5.8S ribosomal RNA", at positions 35 to 154 of the family's 154-position model. The record is from RNAcentral.
GAUGAAGAACGUAGCGAAAUGCGAUAAGUAAUGUGAAUUGCAGAAUUCAGUGAAUCAUCGAAUCUUUGAACGCACAUUGCGCCCUCUGGUAUUCCGGGGGGCAUGCCUGUUCGAGCGUCAUUAUAACCACUCAAGCUCUCGCUUGGUAUUGGGGUUCGCGGUUUCGCGGCCCCUAAAAUCAGUGGCGGUGCCUGUCGGCUCUACGCGUAGUAAUACUUCUCGCGAUUGGGUUCGAUAGGUCUACUUGCCAGUAACCCCCAAUUUUUACAGGUUGACCUCGGAUCAGGUAGGGAUACCCGCUGAACUUAAGCAUAUCAAUAAGCGGAGGA